RNAcentral lists this ribosomal RNA (242 nucleotides) under uncultured Staphylococcus sp. RNAcentral's name for it is "partial 16S ribosomal RNA". It matches the Rfam family "Bacterial small subunit ribosomal RNA", at positions 99 to 334 of the family's 1533-position model. The record is from RNAcentral. Lineage: Bacteria; Bacillati; Bacillota; Bacilli; Caryophanales; Staphylococcaceae.
CGGACGGGUGAGUAACACGUGGAUAACCUACCUAUAAGACUGGGAUAACUUCGGGAAACCGGAGCUAAUACCGGAUAAUAUAUUGAACCGCAUGGUUCAAUAGUGAAAGACGGUUUUGCUGUCACUUAUAGAUGGAUCCGCGCCGCAUUAGCUAGUUGGUAAGGUAAUGGCUUACCAAGGCGACGAUGCGUAGCCGACCUGAGGAGGGUGAUCGGCCACACUGGAACUUAGACACGGUCCAG